GACGAACGCUGGCGGCAUGCCUAAUACAUGCAAGUCGAGCGGACUUGAUGAGAAGCUUGCUUCUCAGAUAGUUAGCGGCGGACGGGUGAGUAACACGUAGGCAACCUGCCCUCAAGCUUGGGACAACUACCGGAAACGGUAGCUAAUACCGAAUACUUGUUUUCUUCGCCUGAAGGAAACUGGAAAGACGGAGUAAUCUGUCACUUGGGGAUGGGCCUGCGGCGCAUUAGCUAGUUGGUGAGGUAACGGCUCACCAAGGCGACGAUGCGUAGCCGGCGGGAGAGGGUGAUCGGCCACACUGGGACUGAGACACGGCCCAGACUCCUACGGGAGGCAGCAGUAGGGAAUCUUCCGCAAUGGGCGAAAGCCUGACGGAGCAAUGCCGCGUGAGUGAUGAAGGUUUUCGGAUCGUAAAGCUCUGUUGCCAGGGAAGAACGCUUGGGAGAGUAACUGCUCCCAAGGUGACGGUACCUGAGAAGAAAGCCCCGGCUAACUACGUGCCAGCCGCCGCCGUAA
Molecule: ribosomal RNA, 516 nt
Filed under: uncultured bacterium
Lineage: Bacteria
Description: partial 16S ribosomal RNA
Rfam family: Bacterial small subunit ribosomal RNA
Source: RNAcentral